RNAcentral lists this unclassified non-coding RNA (349 nucleotides) under soil metagenome. Its description in RNAcentral is "partial contains 5.8S ribosomal RNA, internal transcribed spacer 2, and large subunit ribosomal RNA". The stretch from base 1 to 120 matches the Rfam family "5.8S ribosomal RNA", at positions 35 to 154 of the family's 154-position model. The record is from RNAcentral.
GAUGAAGAACGCAGCGAAAUGCGAUACGUAAUGUGAAUUGCAGAAUUCAGUGAAUCAUCGAGUCUUUGAACGCACAUUGCGCCCCCUGGCAUUCCGGGGGGCAUGCCUGUCCGAGCGUCAUUGCUGCCCUUCAAGCCCGGCUUGUGUGUUGGGUCGUCGUCCCCCCCGGGGGACGGGCCCGAAAGGCAGCGGCGGCACCGCGUCCGGUCCUCGAGCGUAUGGGGCUUUGUCACCCGCUCGAUUAGGGCCGGCCGGGCGCCAGCCGGCGUCUCCAACCUUCUAUUUUACCAGGUUGACCUCGGAUCAGGUAGGGAUACCCGCUGAACUUAAGCAUAUCAAUAGCGGAGGA